This 478-nucleotide ribosomal RNA is filed under the name uncultured bacterium. Its description in RNAcentral is "partial 16S ribosomal RNA". It matches the Rfam family "Bacterial small subunit ribosomal RNA", at positions 28 to 523 of the family's 1533-position model. The record is from RNAcentral.
GACGAACGCUGGCGGCGUGCUUAACACAUGCAAGUCGAACGGUAAGGCCCUUCGGGGUACACGAGUGGCGAACGGGUGAGAAACACGUGGGUGAUCUGCCCUGCACUUCGGGAUAAGCCUGGGAAACUGGGUCUAAUACCGGAUAGGACUCCGGACUGCAUGGUCUGGGGUGGAAAGCUUUUGCGGUGUGGGAUGGGCCCGCGGCCUAUCAGCUUGUUGGUGGGGUGAUGGCCUACCAAGGCGACGACGGGUAGCCGGCCUGAGAGGGUGACCGGGCACACUGGGACUGAGAUACGGCCCAGACUCCUACGGGAGGCAGCAGUGGGGAAUAUUGCACAAUGGGCGCAAGCCUGAUGCAGCGACGCCGCGUGAGGGAUGACGGCCUUCGGGUUGUAAACCUCUUUCAGCAUCGACGAAGCGAAAGUGACGGUAGGUGCAGAAGAAGGACCGGCCAACUACGUGCCAGCCGCCGCAGUAA